RNAcentral lists this ribosomal RNA (1372 nucleotides) under uncultured bacterium. RNAcentral describes it as "bacterial SSU rRNA". It matches the Rfam family "Bacterial small subunit ribosomal RNA", at positions 28 to 1381 of the family's 1533-position model. The record is from RNAcentral.
GAUGAACGCUGGCGGCGUGCCUAAUACAUGCAAGUCGAGCGAACGGACGAGAAGCUUGCUUCUCUGACGUUAGCGGCGGACGGGUGAGUAACACGUGGAUAACCUACCUAUAAGACUGGGAUAACUUCGGGAAACCGGAGCUAAUACCGGAUAAUAUUUUGAACCGCAUGGUUCAAAAGUGAAAGACGGUCUUGCUGUCACUUAUAGAUGGAUCCGCGCUGCAUUAGCUAGUUGGUAAGGUAACGGCUUACCAAGGCAACGAUGCAUAGCCGACCUGAGAGGGUGAUCGGCCACACUGGAACUGAGACACGGUCCAGACUCCUACGGGAGGCAGCAGUAGGGAAUCUUCCGCAAUGGGCGAAAGCCUGACGGAGCAACGCCGCGUGAGUGAUGAAGGUCUUCGGAUCGUAAAACUCUGUUAUUAGGGAAGAACAUAUGUGUAAGUAACUGUGCACAUCUUGACGGUACCUAAUCAGAAAGCCACGGCUAACUACGUGCCAGCAGCCGCGGUAAUACGUAGGUGGCAAGCGUUAUCCGGAAUUAUUGGGCGUAAAGCGCGCGUAGGCGGUUUUUUAAGUCUGAUGUGAAAGCCCACGGCUCAACCGUGGAGGGUCAUUGGAAGCUGGAAAACUUGAGUGCAGAAGAGGAAAGUGGAAUUCCAUGUGUAGCGGUGAAAUGCGCAGAGAUAUGGAGGAACACCAGUGGCGAAGGCGACUUUCUGGUCUGUAACUGACGCUGAUGUGCGAAAGCGUGGGGAUCAAACAGGAUUAGAUACCCUGGUAGUCCACGCCGUAAACGAUGAGUGCUAAGUGUUAGGGGGUUUCCGCCCCUUAGUGCUGCAGCUAACGCAUUAAGCACUCCGCCUGGGGAGUACGACCGCAAGGUUGAAACUCAAAGGAAUUGACGGGGACCCGCACAAGCGGUGGAGCAUGUGGUUUAAUUCGAAGCAACGCGAAGAACCUUACCAAAUCUUGACAUCCUUUGACAACUCUAGAGAUAGAGCCUUCCCCUUCGGGGGACAAAGUGACAGGUGGUGCAUGGUUGUCGUCAGCUCGUGUCGUGAGAUGUUGGGUUAAGUCCCGCAACGAGCGCAACCCUUAAGCUUAGUUGCCAUCAUUAAGUUGGGCACUCUAAGUUGACUGCCGGUGACAAACCGGAGGAAGGUGGGGAUGACGUCAAAUCAUCAUGCCCCUUAUGAUUUGGGCUACACACGUGCUACAAUGGACAAUACAAAGGGCAGCGAAACCGCGAGGUCAAGCAAAUCCCAUAAAGUUGUUCUCAGUUCGGAUUGUAGUCUGCAACUCGACUACAUGAAGCUGGAAUCGCUAGUAAUCGUAGAUCAGCAUGCUACGGUGAAUACGUUCCCGGGUCU